UUCAGCACAUAUUUGAAGAUAACUAUCACACUCUCCCUCCCACCUCAAGUCUUUUCUUCUUCAGGCCAAGUAUUUCUGGUUUCCUUAACCAAUCCUCAUGUGAUAUGGUCUCCAGUCUCCUCACCAUCCUCUUCAUCUUUCUCCUGAUGUGGUGCAGACUGAAAAGAGCACUCUGAAUGUGUUCUGAUCAAGUCUGCAAAGCAUUUUUCUCCCAACAAUCCAGUGAAGUGGGUAGUGCUUUUAUGAUUAUCCCUAUUUUUACAGAUGAAGAAACUGACAUUCAGAACAGUUUAAUGGCUUACAUAGUCACACAGCUGAUUAAUCCCUGUUUUAUCAUAAGGAUUCAAAAAGAAAGAGAAAAGACUUCGGCUUGAUUAAUCAGAUCAAAAAGUAAACUAAAAAAAAGAAGGGAGAAAAACACUUCAGCCAGAGUAAACAUGGGGGGAAAAAGUCUGUUAUAUGUGAAAUGAUAUACCCAGGGUGCCCUAUUUCUGGGAAGAAGGAUGGACAAUGGGGUUGAGUCCCAUCUCUUCUUUGGGAUUGUGCUUGGUGAUUGUAAUGUUUUCAUUAUUUUCCUUUGUAGUUUCUACUUCUGUUUCUGAGAAUUUAUAGUCUGAACCCUUAUUCCUUUGAGGAUACAACAGUCCCAACUUUGGAUUGUAUUAAAAACAAGUCUGAGGCUUAUCUGUAUAAGGGGUACACACGCCCACUCUGGUAGGUGAUCAGAAGCCUCAUGGCUCCCUGGUACUCAGAAGACCCUUGAUUCUUGUCCCAUAUGGCUCCUGGCACCCAGAAAACUGGCCUCUGACUGGAUCUGAGGCCAAGUUCGAGAAAUCAGAGAGACCCAGAAAAGUGAAGUGAUGGGGUCAUAAGUUUGAGGUCCUAUGAAAGCCUUACCUUUUUUUGGUACACAAAAGAUGGUGAGAUGAAACACUAGGGGAACAGGAAUGGAAAGGAACAACUGGCCAUGUGUAACUGGUGCCUCUUCUUUUGUAAGAGAAAACAAAACCUGCUACAAAUCUGUAGGGUCAAGUAAUACAAACUCCUACAUUUUUCUUGUCUAAAAUUUAAAUAAAUAAAUGAAAUAAAGCCA
Molecule: long non-coding RNA, 1093 nt
Filed under: Monodelphis domestica (gray short-tailed opossum)
Lineage: Eukaryota; Metazoa; Chordata; Mammalia; Didelphimorphia; Didelphidae
Description: lncRNA (ENSMODG00000035818.2)
Source: RNAcentral